RNAcentral lists this ribosomal RNA (442 nucleotides) under uncultured bacterium. RNAcentral's name for it is "partial 16S ribosomal RNA". It matches the Rfam family "Bacterial small subunit ribosomal RNA", at positions 338 to 795 of the family's 1533-position model. The record is from RNAcentral.
CCUACGGGUGGCUGCAGUGGGGAAUAUUGGGCAAUGGGCGAAAGCCUGACCCAGCAACGCCGCGUGAAGGAAGAAGGCUUUCGGGUUGUAAACUUCUUUUGACAGGGAAGAGCAGCAGACGGUACCUGUCGAAUAAGCCACGGCUAACUACGUGCCACCAGCCGCGGUAAUACGUAGGUGGCAAGCGUUGUCCGGAUGUACUGGGUGUAAAGGGCUGGUAGCCGGGCUGACAAGUCAGAUGUGAAAUCCGGGGGCUCAACCCCCGAACUGCAUUUGAAACUGUUGGUCUUGAGUAUCGGAGAGGCAGGCGGAAUUCCUAGUGUAGCGGUGAAAUGCGUAGAUAUUAGGAGGAACAUCAGUGGCGAAGGCGACUAUCUGGCACAUAACUGACGCUGAGGAGCGAAAGCGUGGGUAGCAAACAGGAUUAGAUACCCCAGUAGUC